CCCUUUGCAUCCUGACGCAACGCCCUGUAUACUGAUGCUGCCGGUUCGUCCGGCUAUGGCGCUAAACCUUAUGUGGAAUAAGCGUUGCGGACCCGGGGGCAGUACCCGGCGCCUCCACCAUUUCCCGUGCUUUCGUGGAAGCCGGACCGUGGGGGCGAAACAGGAUCGACGCGCGUAGUAAAGAUAUAAGUUGUUCCCGGCAUGGCUCCACCGUUAUCGGGCUAUUUGCAACAGUUGCCAACGACAACUUUGCUCCGGUCGCCGUCGCUGCGUAAUGCGGUAAGGUAACCGACCUUAAAGCCCUUGUUCUUUAGCAGAAUAAGGCGGGGCUCGGGGGCGCCUGGCAACAGAAGCCCCCACU
Molecule: transfer-messenger RNA, 361 nt
Filed under: Alphaproteobacteria bacterium RIFOXYD12_FULL_60_8
Lineage: Bacteria; Pseudomonadati; Pseudomonadota; Alphaproteobacteria
Rfam family: Alphaproteobacteria transfer-messenger RNA
About the family: Bacterial tmRNA, also known as 10Sa RNA or SsrA, is named for its dual tRNA and mRNA-like properties.
Source: RNAcentral